GUCUGGUUACUGCCACGGUGGGUGCUGCUGGUCUGGCCCUGUCCCUGGGGCCCCUCUACAGCCACCCACAGGAGGCUGGGCCACUCUGGCGGGGAAGGAGGGGAGUGGCUAGUGAAUUGGGGUUGGAGGAGGGUGGGCCUGCUUCUCCAGUGACAGUGGGCUUGGUGACUGCUGGAACACAGAGGACUCGCCCUGCCUCCCUGGCCAGGAAGCAGGCACUGCCACCAAGCCCAUUUUACACGUGAUGAAACUGAAGCAGAGGUGGGUCUGGAACCCAGAUGCCAAACCCAAACCCUUGACUGUGGGCUCCGCUGCCUCGAAGAAGGUCUGUAACUUAAGCCCGGUCCACCAUCCAGCACUCACCAGACGUGGGAUCACUGGAGCCGCCCUCAGAGAAGACACCCCAGGACAGAGGCUUCCUCCUCUCUUCUUUGCCUGCUGACCUGGGAGCCACCACCCUUGGCACCAGAGGGCUCCAACCUUCAGCACAGCUCCCAGGCAGACUCCGCCCCCAAGCUUAGCCCCGCCUCCAACCAUCAACUCCUCCCCCAGCCAGAGCCCACCUUACAACUCCCAACCGCAGCUCUACCCCAGGACAAGACCACACCCCCCCACAAGUCUAAGCCCACCCUAAAGCCCAGGUCCACCCAGAGGCUCACCAUCACCCAGACUCUACCCCAGGUAGACCCCUGCUCUUCACCUUGAAGGACUCGAAGAAGCCGCCGCCCCCGCCGCCGUUCUCCAUCUUGUCCUCGUCUCCACCCAGGCCCAUCAUGGACUGGCUGUGGA
Molecule: long non-coding RNA, 789 nt
Organism: Delphinapterus leucas (beluga whale)
Lineage: Eukaryota; Metazoa; Chordata; Mammalia; Artiodactyla; Monodontidae
Source: RefSeq, a predicted model, not a curated record